RNAcentral lists this ribosomal RNA (253 nucleotides) under uncultured bacterium. Its description in RNAcentral is "partial 16S ribosomal RNA". It matches the Rfam family "Bacterial small subunit ribosomal RNA", at positions 524 to 776 of the family's 1533-position model. The record is from RNAcentral.
UACGAAGGGGGCUAGCGUUGCCCGGAAUCACUGGGCGUAAAGCGCACGUAGGCGGCUUUCUAAGUCAGGGGUGAAAUCCUGGAGCUCAACUCCAGAACUGCCUUUGAUACUGGAGAGCUUGAGUCCGGAAGAGGUGAGUGGAACUCCGAGUGUAGAGGUGAAAUUCGUAGAUAUUCGCAAGAACACCAGUGGCGAAGGCGGCUCACUGGCCCGAUACUGACGCUGAGGCACGAAAGCGUGGGGAGCAAACAGG